ACGGAGGGUGCAAGCGUUGUCCGGAUUUAUUGGGUUUAAAGGGUGCGUAGGCGGCCUAAUAAGUCAGUGGUGAAAGCCUCCAGCUUAACUGGAGAACUGCCAUUGAUACUGUUAGGCUUGAGUAUACUUGAGGUAGGCGGAAUUGACAGUGUAGCGGUGAAAUGCAUAGAUAUUGUCAAGAACACCAAUUGCGAAGGCAGCUUACUAAAUUAUAACUGACGCUGAGGCACGAAAGUGUGGGUAUCAAACAGGAUUAGAUACCCUGGUAGUCCACACUGUAAACGAUGAUUACUCGCUGUUGGCGAUAGACAGCCAGCGGCCAAGCGAAAGCGUUAAGUAAUCCACCUGGGGAGUACGCCGGCAACGGUG
RNAcentral lists this ribosomal RNA (369 nucleotides) under uncultured bacterium. Its description in RNAcentral is "bacterial SSU rRNA". It matches the Rfam family "Bacterial small subunit ribosomal RNA", at positions 525 to 896 of the family's 1533-position model. The record is from RNAcentral.